Molecule: unclassified non-coding RNA, 400 nt
Filed under: uncultured Basidiomycota
Lineage: Eukaryota; Fungi; Basidiomycota
Description: sequence contains ITS1
Rfam family: 5.8S ribosomal RNA (bases 1-105)
Source: RNAcentral
GAAAUGCGAUAAGUAAUGUGAAUUGCAGAAUUCAGUGAAUCAUCGAAUCUUUGAACGCACCUUGCGCUCCUUGGCAUUCCGAGGAGCAUGCCUGUUUGAGUGUCAUUAAAUUCUCGAACCCCCCACCUGGGCGUCCUUGUGGUGGACCCUUGAAUGGCUCUACUACUUGCUCGGGCUCUAGGUAGUUCUACACCGUCACUUGUGGCUUAACUAGUUACCUGGUGGGUUUGGAUCGGUGGAGGUUGCAAUUGCCGCCCCCAACUGGGGUGUUCCCUUUGCUUCUCUGAAAUGGAUCGGCACUUAUGGCCGUGGUCACGAACCCGUCGUCGGUAUGAUACGUCUUACCUGCUUCGAGCGGGCGCCGUGCACCAUUCUCUCACAAUUUGACCUCAAAUCAGGC